RNAcentral lists this ribosomal RNA (468 nucleotides) under uncultured bacterium. Its description in RNAcentral is "partial 16S ribosomal RNA". It matches the Rfam family "Bacterial small subunit ribosomal RNA", at positions 28 to 507 of the family's 1533-position model. The record is from RNAcentral.
GACGAACGCUGGCGGCGUGCUUAACACAUGCAAGUCGAACGGAAAGGCCCUGCUUUUGUGGGGUUCUCGAGUGGCGAACGGGUGAGUAACACGUGAGUAACCUGCCCUUGACUUUGGGAUAACUGCAGGAAACUGGGGCUAAUACCGGAUAGGAGCUCCUGCUGCAUGGGGGGGGUUGGAAAGUUUCGGCGGUUGGGGAUGGACUCGCGGCUUAUCAGCUUGUGGGUGGGGUAGUGGCUUACCAAGGCUUUGACGGGUAGCCGGCCUGAGAGGGUGACCGGCCACAUUGGGACUGAGGUACGGCCCAGACUCCUACGGGAGGCAGCAGUGGGGAAUAUUGCACAGUGAGCGGGAGCGUGAUGCAGCAGCGCCGCGUGCGGGAUGACGGCCUUCGGGUUAUAAACCGCUUUCGCCUGUGACGAAGCGUGAGUGACGGUAAUGGGUAAAGAAGCACCGGCUAACUACGUG